This is a long non-coding RNA of Aedes aegypti (yellow fever mosquito), 1033 nucleotides long. RefSeq lists it as uncharacterized. The record is from RefSeq and is a predicted model, not a curated record. The transcript is spliced from 2 exons. NCBI's taxonomy places the organism in Eukaryota, Metazoa, Arthropoda, Insecta, Diptera, Culicidae.
UGCAAAACUAUUUUUCGAAUAUUUUCAAUAUACGGUCGAGGAUGCUUCUGGUUUAACGUAUACUCCUGCAUAGCAAAAUACAGUUUGUCUUACUUUAAGAACAAUAAACAUCUUGUAACGGUUACUGUUAAUGUUUCAGAAAUAGUUGUUUUUAUGUAUAACCAUAUGGACUUCAAAGCUAUUCACCAUUUCAAACAGUAAGAUCAACCCAUACCUAUCAGUAACAAUAUAUGAUACUGUUCUGAUAUUGUUAAAUUAUAUUAGAAUUGAUUCAAGCAAGAUAUGGUGGAAAUAUACCGCCACCAUUCGGCAAAUCGUUAUUGUUUAAAUUUGUGCAACACACUCACACAUUUGCAUUUGACAAUAUUGAACUACAUUUUAACAGUUCGACAAAUAGUUACAUUUUGUUGGUAUUUGAAGGCGACAUUUAAUCUAGCGUUGAGUGUAGAAAAAAAUCGCCGUCGGAUUGCCGUCAAAGGAAAACUGUCAAGCUGUAUUGUUUACUUCUUAUUCUACUGUUAAAACUGUUCAAAGCUAGCAAUUUAUAAAAGUCGAGUUAGACUGAAAUUAAGUUUACAGAACAGCAAUUCACAUAAAAAAUGACAACUUCGAUCGACCCAGAACUGCGCACCAAAAUCGAUACCGCUUGCCAGAUGGAGUAGGAAUUCACCAAACUGUACAACGAAAAAGUAGCCAAGACAACGGUUUGCUGGUGUGGAACGGAAAUGGUGCCAACGGGAAGGACAACAUCCAGAAGUACUUCCAGGAACUGCCCCGCUUCGAACACAUUAUGAACACCCUGGUCGCUCAUCCGAUCAUUGGCGACGCUGUGUCCUAGCAGCUGACGUUCAUCAUCAAAGUUUCGGGAACGGUCAUCUACCAGGACAAUUCUACCAAACCCUUCCAGAAGACAUUCACGGUUACAGCCCAGGGCGACAAGUGGAAGAUUGCGAGUGAUUGCAGCGCUGCUUCCGGUUGCUGGAUGCUAUCUUUUAAGGGAAUCGAUCAAUACAUGGAUGCAUUGGAAGGCGAU